AGCGGCGGAUGGGUGAGUAACACGUGGGGAACCUGCCCCUAAGUCUGGGAUACCAUUUGGAAACAGGUGCUAAUACCGGAUAAUAAAGCAGAUCGCAUGAUCAGCUUUUGAAAGGCGGCGUAAGCUGUCGCUAAGGGAUGGCCCCGCGGUGCAUUAGCUAGUUGGUAAGGUAACGGCUUACCAAGGCGACGAUGCAUAGCCGAGUUGAGAGACUGAUCGGCCACAUUGGGACUGAGACACGGCCCAAACUCCUACGGGAGGCAGCAGUAGGGAAUCUUCCACAAUGGACGCAAGUCUGAUGGAGCAACGCCGCGUGAGUGAAGAAGGUUUUCGGAUCGUAAAGCUCUGUUGUUGGUGAAGAAGGAUAGAGGUAGUAACUGGCCUUUAUUUGACGGUAAUCAACCAGAAAGUCACGGCUAACUACGUGCCAGCAGCCGCGGUAAUACGUAGGUGGCAAGCGUUGUCCGGAUUUAUUGGGCGUAAAGCGAGCGCAGGCGGAAAAAUAAGUCUAAUGUGAAAGCCCUCGGCUUAACCGAGGAACUGCAUCGGAAACUGUUUUUCUUGAGUGCAGAAGAGGAGAGUGGAACUCCAUGUGUAGCGGUGGAAUGCGUAGAUAUAUGGAAGAACACCAGUGGCGAAGGCGGCUCUCUGGUCUGCAACUGACGCUGAGGCUCGAAAGCAUGGGUAGCGAACAGGAUUAGAUACCCUGGUAGUCCAUGCCGUAAACGAAGAGUGCUAAGUGU
RNAcentral lists this ribosomal RNA (743 nucleotides) under uncultured bacterium. RNAcentral's name for it is "bacterial SSU rRNA". It matches the Rfam family "Bacterial small subunit ribosomal RNA", at positions 94 to 823 of the family's 1533-position model. The record is from RNAcentral.